This 429-nucleotide ribosomal RNA is filed under the name Chloroflexota bacterium. Its description in RNAcentral is "Chloroflexi bacterium partial 16S ribosomal RNA". It matches the Rfam family "Bacterial small subunit ribosomal RNA", at positions 355 to 776 of the family's 1533-position model. Lineage: Bacteria; Bacillati; Chloroflexota. The record is from RNAcentral.
UGGGGAAUAUUGCACAAUGGGCGCAAGCCUGAUGCAGCCAUGCCGCGUGUAUGAAGAAGGCCUUCGGGUUGUAAAGUACUUUCAGCGGGGAGGAAGGGAGUAAAGUUAAUACCUUUGCUCAUUGACGUUACCCGCAGAAGAAGCACCGGCUAACUCCGUGCCAGCAGCCGCGGUAAUACGGAGGGUGCAAGCGUUAAUCGGAAUUACUGGGCGUAAAGCGCACGCAGGCGGUUUGUUAAGUCAGAUGUGAAAUCCCCGGGCUCAACCUGGGAACUGCAUCUGAUACUGGCAAGCUUGAGUCUCGUAGAGGGGGGUAGAAUUCCAGGUGUAGCGGUGAAAUGCGUAGAGAUCUGGAGGGAUACCGGUGGCGAAGGCGGCCCCCUGGACGAAGACUGACGCUCAGGUGCGAAAGCGUGGGGAGCAAACAGG